Molecule: ribosomal RNA, 450 nt
Filed under: uncultured bacterium
Lineage: Bacteria
Description: partial 16S ribosomal RNA
Rfam family: Bacterial small subunit ribosomal RNA
Source: RNAcentral
GUGGGGAAUAUUGCGCAAUGGGGGAAACCCUGACGCAGCGACGCCGUGUGAGGGAAGAAGGCUUUCGGGUCGUAAACCUCUGUCAGGAAGGAAGAACCUCUCAAGGCUGAACAAGCCUUGGGACUGACGGUACUUCCAGAGGAAGCACCGGCUAACUCCGUGCCAGCAGCGCGGUAAUACGGAGGGUGCAAGCGUUAAUCGGAAUCACUGGGCGUAAAGCGCGCGUAGGCCGUCUUUUAAGUCGGACGUGAAAGCCCUCGGCUCAACCGGGGAACUGCGUUCGAGACUGCGAGGCUUGAGUCCUGGAGAGGGUGGCGGAAUUCCGGGUGUAGGAGUGAAAUCCGUAGAUAUCCGGAGGAACACCGGUGGCGAAGGCGGCCACCUGGACAGGUACUGACGCUGAGGCGCGAAAGCGUGGGGAGCAAACAGGAUUAGAUACCCUAGUAGUCC